Molecule: ribosomal RNA, 569 nt
Filed under: Staphylococcus sp. J555/1-A
Lineage: Bacteria; Bacillati; Bacillota; Bacilli; Caryophanales; Staphylococcaceae
Description: bacterial SSU rRNA
Rfam family: Bacterial small subunit ribosomal RNA
Source: RNAcentral
UGGAUAACCUACCUAUAAGACUGGGAUAACUUCGGGAAACCGGAGCUAAUACCGGAUAACAUAUUGAACCGCAUGGUUCAAUAGUGAAAGGCGGCUUUGCUGUCACUUAUAGAUGGAUCCGCGCCGUAUUAGCUAGUUGGUAAGGUAACGGCUUACCAAGGCAACGAUACGUAGCCGACCUGAGAGGGUGAUCGGCCACACUGGAACUGAGACACGGUCCAGACUCCUACGGGAGGCAGCAGUAGGGAAUCUUCCGCAAUGGGCGAAAGCCUGACGGAGCAACGCCGCGUGAGUGAUGAAGGUCUUCGGAUCGUAAAACUCUGUUAUCAGGGAAGAACAAAUGUGUAAGUAACUGUGCACAUCUUGACGGUACCUGAUCAGAAAGCCACGGCUAACUACGUGCCAGCAGCCGCGGUAAUACGUAGGUGGCAAGCGUUAUCCGGAAUUAUUGGGCGUAAAGCGCGCGUAGGCGGUUUUUUAAGUCUGAUGUGAAAGCCCACGGCUCAACCGUGGAGGGUCAUUGGAAACUGGAAAACUUGAGUGCAGAAGAGGAAAGUGGAAUUCCAUGU